This 254-nucleotide ribosomal RNA is filed under the name uncultured bacterium. RNAcentral's name for it is "partial 16S ribosomal RNA". It matches the Rfam family "Bacterial small subunit ribosomal RNA", at positions 524 to 776 of the family's 1533-position model. The record is from RNAcentral.
CACGUAGGGGGCGAGCGUUGUCCGGAUUUAUUGGGCGUAAAGAGCUCGUAGGCGGCUCAGUAAGUCGGGUGUGAAAGCUCUGGGCUCAACUCAGAGACGCCAUCCGAUACUGCUGUGGCUAGAGUCCGGUAGGGGAGCGCGGAAUUCCUGGUGUAGCGGUGAAAUGCGCAGAUAUCAGGAGGAACACCGGUGGCGAAGGCGGGUCUCUGGGCCGAUACUGACGCUGAGGAGCGAAAGCGUGGGGAGCAAACAGG